GAUGAACGCUGGCGGCGUGCUUAAUGCAUGCAAGUCGAACGAGGACCCUUUGAUUGGUAACUUUCGAAGGACUCCUAGUGGCGAACGGGUGAGUAACACGUGAGCAACCUGCCCCGAAGACCGGGAUAGCCCAUGGAAACGUGGAUUAAUACCGGAUACCCUCGAGGGACCGAAUGGCCCCAUGAGGAAAGGCUCCGGCGCUUCGGGAUGGACUCGCGGCCUAUCAGCUUGUUGGUGAGGUAACGGCUCACCAAGGCUCUGACGGGUAGCUGGUCUGAGAGGACGAUCAGCCACACUGGGACUGAGACACGGCCCAGACUCCUACGGGAGGCAGCAGCAGGGAAUAUUGCACAAUGGGCGCAAGCCUGAUGCAGCGACGCCGCGUGAGGGAUGAAGGCUUUCGAGUUGUAAACCUCUUUCAGUGGGGAAGAAGCGCAAGUGACGGUACCCACACAAGAAGGCCCGGCCAACUACGUGCCAGCAGCCGCGGUAAUACGUAGGGGCCAAGCGUUAUCCGGAUUUAUUGGGCGUAAAGAGCUCGUAGGCGGCUUGGCAAGUCGGUCGUGAAAGUCCGAGGCUCAACCUCGGAAUGCCGGUCGAAACUGCCAUGGC
Molecule: ribosomal RNA, 612 nt
Filed under: uncultured bacterium
Lineage: Bacteria
Description: bacterial SSU rRNA
Rfam family: Bacterial small subunit ribosomal RNA
Source: RNAcentral